Molecule: ribosomal RNA, 528 nt
Filed under: Aquiflexum sp.
Lineage: Bacteria; Pseudomonadati; Bacteroidota; Cytophagia; Cytophagales; Cyclobacteriaceae
Description: bacterial SSU rRNA
Rfam family: Bacterial small subunit ribosomal RNA
Source: RNAcentral
AUCGGUAAGGGAUGGGCAUGCGUAGGAUUAGUUAGUUGGCGGGGUAACGGCCCACCAAGACUGUGAUCCUUAGGGGUUCUGAGAGGAAGGUCCCCCACACUGGCACUGAGAUACGGGCCAGACUCCUACGGGAGGCAGCAGUAGGGAAUAUUGGGCAAUGGGCGGGAGCCUGACCCAGCCAUGCCGCGUGCAGGAAGAAGGCGUUAUGCGUUGUAAACUGCUUUUAUACGGGAAGAAAAGGCCCAUGCGUGGGACAUUGCCGGUACCGUAUGAAUAAGCACCGGCUAACUCCGUGCCAGCAGCCGCGGUAAUACGGAGGGUGCAAGCGUUGUCCGGAUUUAUUGGGUUUAAAGGGUGCGUAGGCGGCCCGUUAAGUCAGCGGUGAAAGUCUGUGGCUCAACCAUAGAAGCGCCGUUGAUACUGAUGGGCUUGAGUGCCGUAUGGGUACAUGGAAUUGAUGGUGUAGCGGUGAAAUGCAUAGAUACCAUCAGGAACACCGAUAGCGUAGGCAUUGUACUGUGCGGCAAC